This is a long non-coding RNA of Cimex lectularius (bed bug), 1156 nucleotides long. RefSeq lists it as uncharacterized. The record is from RefSeq and is a predicted model, not a curated record. The transcript is spliced from 4 exons. Lineage: Eukaryota; Metazoa; Arthropoda; Insecta; Hemiptera; Cimicidae.
UAUAAUUGAAAAUUAGACUAUGGACAAUAGGAACUUUUUGGUCCAAUUUGACAUGCAGGAAAAUCUCGUAUCGACUAUUGAUGUCCAUUCACAAGACACCCUGUUAGCAAAUUAUUUAAGUUUGUGAGAAAAAAGAUAAGAAUUAAAGAAAAAAAUGCUGCAGAAGAGAAAGUAUUUACAUUAAUACUAGCCUUUACUGCAAAAAGAAAAAAAUAUCUACCUGAAGCAUAUCAGAUUGAAUGCCACAACAAAAAUAUCCAAGUUCAGAGAGAUGAUCCAGACCCAAUUUAACAACAAAAACAAAUGAGAAUGGGUGUAAAACUGCCAAUGUAGAUAACAUACAACCAGAUUCACCAAUACAUUUAAGUUUAAAUUUACACAUGCCAGAAAAUCCCUGGUUAAACAUAUCUGGAAUGCAAAUUAGGGCUUAACUCUGUCCUCUCACUGAUAGGACCUUUUUGAGAUGAGAUAGGAAUGUAAGACAAUUUUUAAAACAGAAGAGAAACAAUAAUAGAUUAAAAGUACAUUAUAUGCAGGUUCUUAUAAGAAGACAGAAGAAACGCAGAAUUUUAAUGAUUUUGUUCACAGAUUUGCUGAAAAAAAUUCAAUACAGGAAAUGUACAUUCUACAAUGAUACCCACCCACGCAAGACUGUUGCAAGGUCCUGGGUUUCUCUAUGUGGAGAGUGGACGAUCCUGCUGAUUAGAGAACUGGACUGAGUGGCCUAACCAAAUCCUAUCUGUACCAACACAAAACAUCAUUGGGACGCCCUGCCUUCAUGAGGAUUCAAUCCAUUGGUUCAUAGGUCAUUCAAGAAAGUACAUUCAAUGGCAAAUAAUAAAUGCUCUAGUUCUUUAACUUAAAUGAAAGGGUUUCCUUCCCAUGAGUUGAAAAUAUUUAAAAAAUCGUAUUCGAAUCCGUCCGUAGACCUGCUGCACUAUUCUGCAGAAGAAUAUGUUUCCGGAGCUAAAGUACAACUGUUAGAACCAGGGCAAUCGACAAAUUUCAGAUGGGCUUGAGUUAACCAGUGUACUGUAAGCGCAGAACAAAGUAUACGACUUGAAGGGCGCAGUAUCAGCAGAACCACCUAAAUUCUUGUAAGGUUUUCAUGUAUAGUUGGUUUUGUCUUUUAGCAAAGAAUUUGAGAAAUGAGUUU